GUGACAGCUCACACUGGUGGUGGGUGUGGCAGCCACAGAGAUCAGCUGAGUGGCACCUGUCCUGCUUAACCACGUAAGUCACUCCUGAAAACCCGUCACCGAGGGAAAGCUAUUGGACGAGGCUUCCCGACGCCUCCAUCUUCGUGUCUGUCUCGUUACGUCGAAUGUCUUCCUUGAAGCCUCCUCCGUCCUUUGUGGAGGAAGGCAGAACAGGAGAGGGAGAAGCAUUUUGUUGCUGGUUUGUACCAGAAAAAUAUCAGAAGAAAACAAGCGUGUGGUUUUGGGGGAGGUUUCUAUUUUUUGAUUUGGUUUAAAGAGCCAGGUUUUUUUUUCAGAUCACUUUGUGUAUUUUUUUCAUCAACAUUUGGCCAACUAUUCAAUUAUGACAUAUAUAAAGAACUAGAAACGAGCUUUCUUAAAGUCCAGAAAAUGAAGAUGUAUGAAUAAUCGUGUAGGAAAUAUACAGUCCAGAGAGGAGGGAACCCCCGGCUUCACCCUCAGAGCUCACUCUACGAGGGCUGCAGGUGUUGGCGAGGCUGUGCUGCUCCUGAGGAAGAGGGAAAUUCCAGACUGCCCUGGAUGAGAGGCUUGUCAGUCCUCCUGGGAUUGCCUGACAGAAAUCAUUGACACUGUCACCCCUAAUUUGACUUCUGAAGGCGUAUUCAGUCACACGUGCGUGACAGUGGAACUACCAGCUAGAAAACAUCCCUCUGGGGCGUGGUUCUCAAAUGUGAGAUGCAGGAGAAGCGCUGGAGGCCCAGAGACCGCUGGGCUCCCGGCUGGAGGGUCUCAGUUGGCGGGAGAGGGCCUGCCGGAGCCCUCACGCGGAUGACCAGCCCGGGCGGGCGAUGCAGCUGCUCUGGGAGCACAGUGGGGCCCCGCUGGCCUGCUGCUUUCCUGCAGCACAGACACCUCCUUCCCCGCGUGUGCCUCCAGCCUCCCGACGUGGGUGGCGGGCGGGCCCGUGGACGCUUCUCCCUGCCACCCUCCCAGCAGCACCCCUCUGCACCCAACCUAAGCCAACCCAAGGAGCAGUUUUCAGAAAAGCUGAACAGUCUGCACUGAAGAGAAUCCCACCAUGAAGACCGGCAAAGCAGAUUGAGCCAGGUUGAGAGGGAGCUUCCGGGGAGGGAACGCAUCUUUGGUGCACAGCCUCACGAGGCCAAACGCGGGCUGGUGGUAAGGUGCCAACUAGCAAGGCCACAGGCACCCCCCCACCCCCAAACCUCACAUAAAAACCCUCCUUUUUCCCUUCGAGGAGGUGGAUCUGAGUUCUAAUGCGCUCCCAUCUCCUCAUCUGGCUGCCUUUUCAUAAAACUCUUUUCUUGCCGUAAGUCUGGCAUUCCUGGUUUUAUUUUGGUCUCUUCUUGUGUGCAGGUAAAAGAGCCUGCAUCUGUGGCCGAUAACCCUUUCUUUCCCAGUGGAUUGUGUCCCACCCAGCCAUUCCUGUUAGGCUGUGGGCUUUCUGGGGUCCCCAGAGAAAACGCGUCCCCAGGAUGCUGAACGGGCCGAGGGCAUGGCUUGGGGAGCUGUGAUAAUCAGGUGAAGAAUCGGGUGGCGUGCUGCACAGAAAGGAGGAAUCUCACUUCAAGGCAUUUCUGGGACAGUUAAUCCCCACAGCCAGCGGGAGACCUCCGGGCCUCGGGCCUCAGCUCUGGGAACCACCCUCCCCACGGGCACAGCCUCAUCCGCAGGCCCCCUCAGCUCGCUGGGCCGCUUCGUGGACCCUCUGCGGCGCCGGCCUCAAAACCCACUUGCAGCUGCCCCCAGAUGCAAACGCCGCACCGCCCUGGCGCAGUGGCAAGGAGGAAGCUGGAUUUUCUUCCCGUGAUUUUGUGGGUCUUCG
Molecule: long non-coding RNA, 1846 nt
Organism: Equus caballus (horse)
Lineage: Eukaryota; Metazoa; Chordata; Mammalia; Perissodactyla; Equidae
Source: Ensembl